UAUUUUAUCUUUUAAGUUUUAGAGUGUUGGGCCAUGUUUUGGGCUUAUGUUUUAAUACUUAUGCGUUAUUUUAGUGUGUGAUUGGGCUUGGGCCUUAAGUGUUUAAGUCAAACCCAAGAAGAGUGUUUAGGGUUUUAUUUGUUUUUCUCCUUACUAUAUAAGGAUAAGAAACAAUUGUAAGAGGCAGCUUUUAAUCAAACUUUUCAGAAUUUCUUUCAUGCCUUUAGCGUGUAUUGCUUUGAGUGAGAGUGAGGAUUUGCUUUCAUCAAUUGCACCAGGAAUCUUGGCUAACUUAUCAACUAUUCGUUGUGGCGUUUGUCGGAUUCUCAUCUAAAUCCUUCGAUCAUUGGUGUUUCAGCUUCUCUAAGUUUGGGGUGCCAUAGGAGGUGGGUUUAUAAAAUCUUUGGAUUCCGUAUCUACUUGUGCGUGUGGGUUUGAGGCUUGUGCCAUGGGGUUCCGCGUCAGUUGGUAUCAGAGCCAAAGUGAGGUAAAUUCUUAUUUAUCUCAGGAUCUAGAGUUUUUUUUUUCUGAGUUUUCCUUUUCUUCGUUAUUGAUUUCGGUGAAAGCUUUUGUGUCCAUGGCUGCACCUUCUUGAUUAUUAAUCAUCAAAAAAAGAAAAAUUCGAAAUCCAAAAAAAAAACGAAAAAAAAAGAACAAAAAAAUCGCCUUUGCCAUAUUUAUCUUGAUCUGACCGAAAUUGUGAUAUGCUUCCUUUUUCAUCCAUAUUUCCUUACCUAUCUCAAUUGAUUGCUGUAGUUUAUGCAAAUCAAUUUUGAAUUUUGAAUUGGGUUGAAUCCAGAUUAGGAGACAAAAGAAAUCUGCCUAUUUCUUAAGGUGCACAUUUAAGGCAAUUGCAUCUAAAUCGAUUUGGUGUCAAAUCCAUCUUUUAAUGCCCAUUUUCGUCCAUGAUGCUGCACUGAGUGAGAAAUAUAUAUAUAUAUAUUUUUAGUCUAUUUGUGGGGUUUUGAUACUUGCCUUUUUGGGUAGAUUUAAAUAGAUCCGUAUUUAAUUUGCGUUGAAGCGAAUUAAAUUCAAACUUUUGUCCAGAUUCGUUUUUAUUUGAUUUCUAAGUUUCUUUUUUGGUUUAAGCUUGCUUUUGCUUCCUUUACAUUGCUGGAGUAUUGUUUGCUUGUGUCUAUACUCUAGGUGAUAUUUUUCAAGUAGCACAAAACCUAGUUCAUGUGUUACUUUCCAAACUGUCAGUUUCUUCUUUCUAGUUUUUGCGCGCUUCCUUCUUUCUUUAGGAUUUCUUCUUUGUUUCAUUAAACGCACCUUAUGGUUGGUUGGUUGACCUUAGUUUCUGAAGUGCAAUUGAAGAAUCAGCAAAAGAAUGGUAAGAGUGCAAAUACUUGAGUAUUUCUUUAACACAAUAUUUGCCAGUUCUUUUUGUUCUUUGUUGAUUUAAGGUAGGAUGAGUAAAGACAAGAAUGUGGUGGAUCGUACUGAUGGAAGUGAAUCGAAUAUGGGUAAUGAUUAUAAGCUCUUUAAGAAGUCAGUCAGUAGUGAGUUACAAAGGCUCAAUAAGACUCUUGAGAGGUUGACUGAAACUAUGGAGAGUUUGAAUGUCUCACAAGCUUCCACUUCUACAAGAAUACCUCAAAAAACUCCUAAUUUGAAUAAUGACUGUAAUGAUUCGGAUGUGUUGGUUAAUAAUGUGUUGCUUGCUGCACAUUGUGAGAUGCUUGUUGCUAGGCGUGCUCUGAAUAUGCAGGUUAAGAAAGAAAGCCUAGAACAACGGGAAAACAUAUUUCACACUAGGUGUUUGGUUAAUGGAAAAGUGUGUACUCUCAUUAUUGAUGGAGGUAGUUGCACAAAUGUGGCUAGUGUGUAUAUGGUGAAGAAAUUGGGCUUGGCUUCUAUUGAACACCCUAAGCCAUACAGAUUGCAAUGGUUGAAUGAUUGUGGUGAGGUUAGGGUUACACGCCAGGUGGUUAUACCAUUUUCUAUUGGUAGGUACAAGGAUGAGAUAUUGUGUGAUGUGGUACCUAUGCAGGCAAGCCAUAUGUUGUUGGGUAGGCCGUGGCAACAUGAUAGAAAGGUGCAACAUGAUGGGUUCAAUAACAAGUACUCCUUCACUCAUGAAGGACAGAAGGUUAUACUCGCUCAUUUAUCACCUAAAGAGGUAUAUGUUGAUCAAAUAAAGAUGCUGGAGAGGGAGAGGGAGGCUUCGGCCUUGGCCACAAAGGGGAGUGAGAGCUUGAAUUCUGCGGAAAAGAUGAGAGAAAAGAGUGAGUUUGAGGGUAAAGAGGCUGGGAAAGAAUCAAGACUAGUUCAAGGAGGGAAGGUGGAGAAAGAAAAGGAGAAAGAAGAGGCUAAAGUUCCAAUCUCAACUUCCAUAGAGAUUGAAAUUGAAGAGGAAGUUGUAAUGCAUGAAUCUAAUGUAGUUGUUGUUGAGAAUUCCAUCAAUGAACUUAUAGAAGAGGUUGUGAAUGAUGAGGGACAUGGGGAGCACGUGAUUGAUGAGGUGGAGGAGGUGAACGAGACUGUUUUGGAAGUUGUAGAGGAGAAUGGGUCACAUCCACAAGAUCUUUCUAUGACUAAUAUUUUUAUGCCUAGUUCAUUUGUUCUUGAUGUGCAGGUUGUUGAUGAAAACAUUCAUGACGAAAGUUUUAUCCUAUUUCCACCUAUUCAAAAGGAGGUCUUUGAAGACACAUGGGUUCCUAAAGCUUCCCUUUUUGACAUAAAUAUCAGCAAGAUUCGAGGACGAAUCUUUUCUAAAGAAGGAGAGAAUGAUACGGAUUCAAUAGGGCAAAUUUCUAACAAUGGUGUGGAGCAAACUUAUGUCAUUCAAAUGGAUCUAAAAGGAGUUCAAAAUCAUAUUCAUAUGAUCCAUAUAUAUUUGGGGCGUGCUUCAACUCAUAUGGGACAGAUUUGGUGCAACACUUGCAAUCAUAGGCUUAGGGAGCCUAAUCAAACCUAUGGGCUAAAACUACACAAAGGGAAGCCUAAAGUGAAGAUCAAGUAAGACUUUUGUGAAGACUCAGCUUUGUUAUGAUGGGCUUGCUAUAUUUUUAUGAUUUAACACUUGUUUUAUUUUAGCUUUGUUUGGGCUUGUAUUCUGGCCAUAUUUUAUCUUUUAAGUUUUAGAGUGUUGGGCCAUGUUUUGGGCUUAUGUUUUAAUACUUAUGCGUUAUUUUAGUGUGUGAUUGGGCUUGGGCCUUAAGUGUUUAAGUCAAACCCAAGAAGAGUGUUUAGGGUUUUAUUUGUUUUUCUCCUUACUAUAUAAGGAUAAGAAAUAAUUGUAAGAGGCAGCUUUUAAUCAAACUUUUCAGAAUUUCUUUCAUGCCUUUGGCGUGUAUUGCUUUGAGUGAGAGUGAAGAUUUGCUUUCAUCAAUUGCACCAGGAAUCUUGGCUAACUUAUCAACUAUUCGUUGUGGCGUUUGUCGGAUUCUCAUCUAAAUCCUUCGAUCAUUAGUGUUUCAGCUUCUCUAAGUUUGGGGUGCCAUAGGAGUUGGGUUUAUCAAAUCUUUGGAUUCCGUAUCUACUUGUGCGUGUGGGUUUGAGGCUUGUGCCAUAGGGUUCCGCGUCACGGAGGCUUUGGAUCCUCGCCUAUUGGCUCUCACCGGCCUCUUGGCCAGCUCUACUCAAGAGCAGGUGGCCUUCUGGGCUCGGUCCAGAGAGCAGCUUAGGGACACUGCUAGGGAGAUGCUUUUGAUGGUAAGUCACGCUUGUCCCUUUUCUAUUUUUAAUUUUCUUUGAUCUUCCUAGGCUUUCUGACUUCAUUUAUUUUCCCCUUUUUGCCAGGCGAUGGGCGUUUUUAUGGAGAUAGACGCCCGGGAUCGCGCCCUCAGGGACUCUGUGGACCGCCGUAUAGAGGAGGCGCGUCUCGAGGAGAACUUGUUAGUGAGCAGCGAUGCCCAGAGCAAUCUUGUGGCUGCCCGAGAGCACUCCAGGUACCUCCAGAUAGAGCUACAUACUGCGUGGGAGGCCCUCAAGAGGACUGAUGGGAGGACAGCUGAGGCAGAAAAUCAGCUUUAAAGCAGUUGUCCUCCUUGGAGGAGAUCCGGCGAGAAAGGGAUGAGGCCAUGAGCCAGAAGGAGGGGGUCCAGCACCAGCACAAGCUGUUGAAGAUAGAUUUUGAUGCCGUGCAGGCUCAAAAGGAGGAAGCCCUAGCUCGGGUCGUGGUUCUGGAGCAAGAGCUGAGCAAGCAAGCUGACAGCAUUAAGGGCUUGACCUUGGCGGCAGAGGAGUCCAAACUUCAGAACCAACAACUCUGCCAACAAGUCAAUGCUUUAGAGAAGAGGUGCUCAGCCUUGCUCGAAGAUGCCAAGCUGGUUGAGGAUAGAGUCCAGCUGGAGUGCGAGGAGCAUCUAAGGGAGUAUAAGGAGUCGGCCGAGCUAAAAAAGGAGAUCCAGCAGGCCUGUGAAGCUUAUCUCCAAGAUUAUAAGGACUCUUCAGAGCUGAAAACCAAGAUAGCUGAGGCCUGCGAGGAGCGACUUGCGGAAUUCAAAGGCUCUGGCGAGAUGAAGACUGCUGUAUGGAAUAAGAGCUUCCGCAUGUUCGUCUCUAGAUACAAUCGAGGCCUGAGGACUGCCAGAUAUGCCCCUUCCACACCGUUAGCUGAACUCCGAGCCGCUGAGGAAGACUCUGAUGGCGAGGAGGUACUCUACGGGGAGGAUGACAGACCCUUACCCAAAGGGGCUUCUCGUGCUGUAGCUGGGCCUUCUGAGGCAGAUGUCGAGCUGGGGAAGGAGGAUGAAGGUGCUGGGCCUCAGGGGCAAGAGAUUGUCCCCUUUGUAGAUAUUAGUGUAGACAAUAGCAAUGUAGAUAUUGAUACACCUAGGCAUGUAAGUCCUUUAAGGACAGUUUUUCCUUCAGUAGAGUAGGUGUUUAGAAUAGGUUGUAAUUUUUGCUUUCCUUUUAAUGAAAUUCAGUUUUCUAAUUGUAUUUGUACUUGAGUUAUUUUCAUUUAUUUAUUUUUCUGGCCUUAUCGGAUUACUUAAUCUGUUAAAAGCUCAACUUACUUAAUCUGCCAAUGUGCUUAAGAGUAAUGCUCAAUAAUUUUUUCUAAGGAAUCAACCAUACUGUCCUUUAUUCCUUGCCCUUAAGCUAAUCAGGGCUGGAAAUUUAGCAAGAGACUUGACUUCCAACUUAUAAACUUUUUCAAUUUCACAAGGGCACUCUUAUCUGCAGGCCUUUUUCGAACUAGAUUUGCCUUAAGGAUAAAAAUUUUUAAGCUACGCAUUUAAUUAAUCUCCCGCAGGGUUCAAACAAAUCAGGUCUUCACCAUGAGUUCGAUUUUUAACAAUUGACUAAACUUCCAACUUACGAGUUUUUACAACCUCGUACAGGCGUUUUUAUUAUUUUCCAUUAUGUUAACUCGUCCACAAUGCGAGCUCAGACGUAUAACAUGCAUAUAACCAAAGUGAGAUGGAUCAUGUACCUUUUAAAGUGAUGAGCAGGGUUGGCCUUUUUAUUCUUAGUUCUAUUCUGAUAGGAACCGAGGCUGGGGCCUUGUCUGCUCAUGCCUUAGAUUUCCUCUUGGGUCAUAGGAGGCUUGUAGCUUUAGUUUGCCCUUGAGCUUUCUGAGUUCGGCCCUUUUCUUGCCUGCUUUUCCGGACUUAUAUUUGUGUGUCUCAGGUCGGUACUUUUGGCUUUACGUUGCUUUUGUCUUCUCAGCUCGAUUUUUUGGUGCCUGGAGAUCUUGGGGAUCCCGGUCACCUACCUCCCUGAGGUCUUAUCAUCUCAGCUCGGUUUGCGGUGCUAGGAGAUAUUGGGGAUCCUAGUCACCUACCUCCCUGAGUUCUUGUCAUCUCAGCUCGGUUUGCGGUGCCAAGAGAUCUUAGGGAUCCUGGUCACCUAUCUCCCUGAGGUCUUGUCAUUUCAGCUCGGUUUGCGGUGCCAGGAGAUCUUGGGGAUUUCGGUCACCUACCUCCAUGAGGUCUUGCCCUCUCAGCCAGUUUUGUGGCGCCAGGAGAUCUUGGGGAUCCCGGUCACCUGACUGAGGUCUUGUCAUCUCAGCUCGGUUUGCGAUGCCAGGAGAUCUUGGGGAUCCUGAUCACCUACCUUCCUGAUGUCUUGUCAUCUCAGCUUGGUUUGUGGUGCCAGGAGAUCUUGGGGAUCCUGAUCACCUACCUCCCUGAGGUCUUGUCAUCUCAGCUCAGUUUGUGGUGCCAGGAGAUCUUGGGGAUCCUGGUCACCUACCUCCCUGAGGUCUUGUCAUCUUAGCUCGGUUUGCAGUGCCAGGAGAUCUUGGAGAUCCUGGUCACCUACCUCCCUGAGGUUUUGGGCCUUUGUGCUUGUUUUGUUUUUCUUUUCUAUUUCUUUCAAUGGAAGCAAUGUAAGUUAUGACAAAUAAAGAAUUUGGACGAUUACAACGUCUAUUUUAUUACCAUGCUUUAAAAUACAAUCAGUCUUUUUACAUUUGAUGACAUCUUUUAGGGGAAGUACCUUUUUAAAUGCCGGAUAUUCCAAGCAUGGGGAUCAGAGUUUCUCUGCAUGUCCUCAAUUCGAUAUACCCCCGGUUUGACCACUUUUAUUAUUCUGAAGGGGCCCUCCCAAGUUGGUGCCAGCUUUCCUACUGCCGCUCUCUUUCCAGUAGCUUCCAGGUUUCUCAGGGCUAGAUCUCCUACCUUCAGGCUUCUUUCUCUGACCCUUUGAUUGUAGUAACGGGCCGCUCUUUGCUGAUAAGCGGCAGUACGGAUUUGAGCUUCCUCCCUAACUUCUUCCAGAGCAUCCAGGUUACUUAUUAACUUAUUAUCGUUGGUGCUCUCGCUAUUGAAUUGGACUCGAUGGGUGGGGACCUGCAACUCGAUUGGAACUACAGCUUCAGUGCCAAAUGCGAGUGCAAAAGGCGUCUCUUUAGUGGACGUCCUGGGGUUAGUUCGGAGUGUCCACAGGAUGCUGUUGAGCUCUUCUGCCCAAUUUGCCUUUGCCCCGUCCAGCCGCUUUUUCAGUCCCUGAAGGAUAGCUCUGUUAGUGACCUCUGUUUAGCCGUUGGUCUGAGGAUGGGCCACCGAAGAGAAUUUGUGCCAUAUGCCCAUAUUUGCUGUGAAUGCUCUAAAGGCACUGCAAUCAAAUUGUCUGCCGUUGUCUGAGAUAAGUACCCUCGGUAUUCCGAACCUGCAGAUGAUGUUGCCCCAUACGAAGUCUAUCAUCUUACGGGCUGUGAUUGUGGGGAUUGCCUCCGCCUCUGGCCAUUUCGAGAAGUACUCCACAGCCACCACUACAAAUUUCUUCUGCCCCGUGGUCUUGGGAAAAGGUCCCAGGAUGUCUAUUCCCCACUGUGAGAAUGAACACGGGCUGGAUAUGCUAGACUGGGGAGUGGCUGGAACAUUGAUGGCAUUAGCAAACCUCUGGCAUACAUCGCAUCUUCGGAUAAACUCUUCAGCCUCUUUUUUAACAGUGGGCCAGUAGUAUCCCUGCCUGAAUAUCUUGUUUGCUAGCGUUCCUGCUCCUUUAUGAGCUCCACACAUUCCCCUGUAUAUUUCUUCCAUCACCUUUAUUGCCUCCUCCGGGCUCACACAUCGGAGCCACGGGCUGGAUUUCCCCCUUCUGUAUAAAGUCCCCCUUACUGCUUGGUAAUUAGCGGCACAAGCUGCUAUCUUCUUUGCUUCAUCCUUGUCUUCAGGGAGCUUUCCCUUCUCCAGGUAUUCCAGGUAUGGGGUCAUCUAGCUCUGGCUUUGCUCCACCUGCAAUACAGUGGCCGUUUUGUCAAAGGCAGGUGUGCUAAUGUGUUGUACGUAUACCUCGUCAGGGAGUUGUUCUAGCUCCUCUUUAGACAAUCGGCUGAGCAGGUCUGCCUUUUCAUUCUCUUCCCGAGGUAUUCUCUGAUACCUGACUGUGAUUCCGCGACCCUUGAGCUCGGCUUCUAUGGCUUUUACCUUUGCCAGGUAAUUCUGCAUGGUAGGGUCUCUGGCCUGGUAUGCCCCAGUGAUCUGAUUGAUCACUAACUGGGAAUCACUAUUCACCUCAAGGUCGGUUGCCCCUAUCUCCAUUGCUAUCAGCAUUCUGUUUAUUAGGGUUUCAUACUCCACCACAUUAUUAGAGGCUUUGAAUUCUAGGCGUAGAGCAUAGCAAACCUUAAAUUCUUCAGGUCCUUUCAACAUUAUUUCUGCACCACUGCCCCCAGCGCCAGAUGCCCCGUCUACAUACAGCUUCCAACUGAAUUCUUGAGAGGACUGUCCUUCUCUCUCAUUCCCCAAUGCUUCCAAAGAUGACUCACCCCGUUCCAUCUGUUCUUCAUUGAACGAGCACUCUGCUAUGAAGUCAGCAAGGGCUUGAGAUUUUAUGGUGGUCUGAGGUCGGUACUCUAAACAGUAAGGGCUAAUCUCGAUGGACCAGGCCAGCAUCCGACCUGAGGUUUCCGGCCUGUGGAGAAUCUUCUUCAGUGGCUAGUCUGUCAUUACUACCCCCUGGUGGCUUUCCAGAUAGACCCUAAACUUCCGGACUGCUAGCAGCAGAGCAUAUGCCAUCUUCUCGAUGUUCAGAUAUCUGAUCUCGGCGUCUUUAAGCACCUUGCUGACGUAAAACACUGGUUUCUGUUCGCCCCCUUCUACUCUUACCAACACUGCACUGACUGCUUGCUUUGAGGCUGACAAGUAGAUCAGGAGCUCUUCUCCCUCCAAGGGACUGCUAAGUACAUGAGGCGAGCUGAGAUAGCUUUUAAGCUCUGUGAAAGCUUCUCGGCAAUCCUCAGUCAAUUCGAAGUUCGGCACUUUCCUCAACUUCUUAAAGAACGGCAAGCAUCUUUCCGCCGACCUUGACAUGAAGCGAUUGAGCGCUACCACUCUCCCAGUAAGUCUCUGGACAUCCCUCACACAGGUUGGCUCGGGCAUAUUCAGGAUAGCUUCUACUUUCUCCGGAUUGGGCUCAAUGCCUUUUCCACUCACCAUAUACCCCAAGAACUUUCCUCCCUUGAUGAAGAAAGCACACUUAGUCCGGUUUAGCCUCAUUCUGUACUGCUCUAGCACCUCGAACACCUCCCUCAGAUCCACCAAGUGCUGCUGAAAAGUCGGACUCUUCACCACCAUAUCAUCCACAUAUACUUCGACAUUCCUGCCGAUCUGAUCUUUGAAGAUUUUAUUCAUCAAUCUUUGGUAUGUUGCCCCGGCAUUCUUCAGCCCGAAAGGCAUGGCUUUAUAGCAGUAAGUCCCAUCUUCUGUUAUGAACGAGGUCUUUUCUUCAUUCGACCUGUCCGUUGGAAUUUGAUGGUAACCAGACAUAGCAUCCAAAGACGACAUGUAAUCAAAACUGGCCGUGGAGUCGACCAUUUUAUUAAUAUCAGGGAGGGGGUAACAAUCUUUGGGACAUGCUUGAUUGAGGUCUGUAAAAUCUAUACACAUCCUAUAUUUGCCAUUGGCUUUUUUUGACUAAUACAGGAUUUGCUAGCCACUGUGGGUACAUGACCUCUCUAAUAAAUCCUGCCUCCUCGAGCUUUUGUACCUCCUCCCUGGUGGCUUGUUGCUUCUCCCUUCCUACCACCCUCUUCUUCUGCUUCACUGGCCUAGCCUCUGGGAAGACAUUCAGCUUGUGUGUCAUCACUUCAGGGUCAAUUCCAGGCAUGUCAGAAGGCUUCCAGGCGAAGCUUGACGCGUGACCUCAGAUCAGGGCCAUGACUUCCGCUUUCUGCUCUUCAGUGAGGCCGGCGUUAAGACUGAAGACCUUAUCUGUCUCUGCUUCUGAUAAGGGAAAGGUCUCCAACUCUCUGACCGGCUCUGUUCUGGCCUCUUUUUUCUCAUCUCGGACCUCCAGAACUUCUGAGUCAAGCUUCUCCCCUGUCGAGCUCGGCUCUGAUACUGUGGCCAGGUACACUGCUCUUGCCUCUUCUUGGCUUCCUCUGACGACUCUCACUCUUGCCUCUGUUGGGAACUUCAUAGCCAGAUAUCUAAUGCUGGUUACGGCCUCAAAGUCAAAUAGCGCAGGUCUUCCCAAUAUUGCGUUGUAGCUCAGGGGAGUUUGGCUACUAAGAACACCGCAUAAUGAGUGCGGGUCCUUGGCGCUUCUCCUAGAGUGAGAGCCAGCUUUACUUUCCCCUCCACAGGCACUGGGACUCCUCCAAUCCCUUUGACUGGGGCCUGGUCCCAAACCAUUUGCUCCUCGGGGAUUCCCAUCUGCUGGAAGACUCUGUACGGCAACAAAUUCACCUUACUCCCGUCAUCCACCAAGAUCUUCUUAACCCGGUAGUUGUGGAUGAUGGCUUCAAUAACUAAGGCAUCGUCAUGAGGCAUCUGAACACCCUGGGCAUCCUCCGGAGAGAAGGUGAUGGUCACUGGAGAGUGCUCAACUACUUGCAUGACCUCGGCGAUGCAGCUUUCCCCAUCUCAACUACCUGCAUGUUUGGCCGCCGAACCUGCCUAUGGUGGCAUGUUUUGGCCGCCUAAACUCGCCCCCGAAAGUUGGACUUUCGGCUCUGGAAGGGACUUUCGGCCGCCGAAGGUGCCGCCGAAAGUGCCCUGUUCAGCCUUCCUUUGCAUGUUUUCUAUGAUUGUUUUGUGAUGUUUUAGGGAGUUUUUGGGGAGAUGUUUAGAGUCAUGUUAGUAUAUGUUUGGUCCCUCAUUUGAGUCCACCUGUGUAGGUUCGGACCCGAGGAACCGAGGACCCCAGCAGUGAGAUAGCUGCUUCAGAGUCUUUGCAGAGUCAGCCUGAGGUGAGUAGAAUGAAUCUUUAUGUUUCAAAGCAAAUAAAUUUUGAGCAUAUUCAUGCAUCAUGAAUGCCAUGAUAUAUACUAGGUUGCUUGCAUUAGAAAUCACGAAUAUGUUGCAUUGCAUUCUAUGAUGUUGAUGUGGAUGGAUGUUGGAUGACCCAUUAGCCCUCAAUAUGAUAUGAUGACGAUGAUACGGUAUGGAAGUCCAGUGAGGCCCAUUCUACGCCCCUAGCACGAUGUAAGAGAAAGACUAGUGAGGCCUCCUGGCACAUUGGAAUGUUAUGUUAUGAUAUGCUAAGAGAAAGACCAGUGAGGCCCAUUCUACGCCUCUGGCACCAUUGGAAUGUGUAGAGGGCUAUUAGUGACAAGUCCGUCCUUGAUGUGAAUUGUUUGUGAUGUGAUGUAUUCCAUGAAAGCAUAUGUUUUAAUAUAUUGUUUUACUAUUCUGCUCACUGGGCUCUAGUAGCUCACCCCUUUCCUUUAAUCCCCCAAGCUUGCAGGUUCAGAAUAGAUUGGGAGGUCAGCAAGAGUAGAAGCUUAAUGUAUGUAAUAGUUUAGUUGUGGACAUGAAAGAUAAUGUAAUGUAAGACAUUGUAUAGAUUUGUAUUGAGGAUUAGUAUUGUGCUUGACCCAAGAGUUUAUGGUUAAUCCCUUUGGUUCAUGAUCAUUGUGUAAUGUUUUAUGAAUGUAUUGUAAACCAAGCUUGAUGUAUGUAAUGUUGACCCAACUAGAUAUUAUUCUAUUCUGCUCACUGGGCUCUAGUAGCUCACCCCUUUCCCUUAACCCCCAGGUUUGCAGGUACAGGUUAGACCGGGGAGUCUUCCAGGUUGAAUUUGUGUGUAUGUAAUAAUGAGUCGUGGACAUGUAAUGUAAAAUGUUAUAAUGUGAUGUAAGGUAAAGAAUUGUAUUGAGGAUAGAAUUGUGCUUAGCCCUGUGUAUGUAAAUCCCUUCUGGUACAUAGUCUUUUUAAUGAAAUGAAUUAAUGAUGUUUUAUGUUAAUCAAGCUUGAUUAUAGUAAUGAUGACCCAACUAGAGCAUUUGAUGAGGGCUCUAGUAUGGGGUUUGUAUGUUUAAUGUAUAGUGCAUGCACAGGUUGAGCUUGGUGAAUGAAAAAGUUUAAAGCUUAUAUAAAUGUAUGAUCAUGUAUGGGAUUUAUCAGGUGUAACAGGUGGUAUGUUAGGCUUGCUACGGGUCCCGGCGACCUUAAGUCGAUCUGGAUCCUAGCGCCGGUAGCAAUCCGAUUUUGGGUCGUUACAGCUGCUCUCUCAUCUUCUGCAGCUUUUGGUCCACACUCUCUUCCUCUUGUCUGGGCCUUUUCUCCAGGCGACAUUCCUCCUCCCAUGCUUCACUUCCCGUUCUUCUGGUUGUCCAGAUGGAAUAACUAUCUGCCUCAUCAUUUUCUAUCAACUCCCUCACCCUUCUUCCAUGAACUCUCACCUCCGGUUCUUCUUCUUCCCCGGCCCUUCUUCUUCCUCCGAUUUCUCUGCUGUUUGUUAGGGAGUAGUUGAAGGUAGGCUGAGGUUCGUUGGUUCGGGGUUCUUCUACCACCGGCAACACAUUCAUUAGGGUGCUAAGGCCCCUCUGUUGCAUCACCUGCCUCAGCCAGUGGGCAGUGUUUUGUAGUUGAAGGGCUAUGGUUUGGAGGUCCUGGUUGGACAAGGCAGCUCCGGGCACAUUCCCUGCCAAGCUUGGCAAGGGGUUGAAGGGGAUUGGUGUUUGGUUGUUUAGAGUUGUGGGACUGGAAAAAGAGAACUGUUGCCCCUCUUAGGCAGAGCUCAGGUCAUUGGGAGUGUUUGCAAGGUUGUUUUCGUUAUGGUUGGCCAUUGUGGAUCUCAAUGGGUAUUGUAAGAGUGGAACUCCGGUGAUGACAAGAUCUCCUUCGUUUCCCACAGACGGCGCCAAUUGAUGAUCUGAAAUCCAGAAAAUAGGUGUAAUANNNNNNNNNNNNNNNNNNNNNNNNNNNNNNNNNNNNNNNNNNNNNNNNNNNNNNNNNNNNNNNNNNNNNNNNNNNNNNNNNNNNNNNNNNNNNNNNNNNNNNNNNNNNNNNNNNNNNNNNNNNNNNNNNNNNNNNNNNNNNNNNNNNNNNNNNNNNNNNNNNNNNNNNNNNNNNNNNNNNNNNNNNNNNNNNNNNNNNNNNNNNNNNNNNNNNNNNNNNNNNNNNNNNNNNNNNNNNNNNNNNNNNNNNNNNNNNNNNNNNNNNNNNNNNNNNNNNNNNNNNNNNNNNNNNNNNNNNNNNNNNNNNNNNNNNNNNNNNNNNNNNNNNNNNNNNNNNNNNNNNNNNNNNNNNNNNNNGCGGUCCGGUUUCCGGGUCGUUACAAUAGGGUUUUACAAGAGUUCUAUGAACUUAGAAAAUACUUAGUCCUAGAGAAGGAUGCCCCUCCCCCUUUUAUUCGUUUCUUUUGUCUGCUAGUGACGUAUAACAAACUUCUCGUCAUUGGGCCACCUGUCUCUGCCAUGUUGAUACGGACGUACAAAAAUAUCAGAUCUCUGCUCCAUGCGUAACGGCCAUUUAAUUCUCCCCUAGUGCGCAUGCGAACGGACUUACCAGGCGGAUGGGCUGGCCACCUUCCUUCCUCUAGGCUGGGCUGGUAGAGGAGAUCAAGACUGAGCUCAGAGGAGAUCUGAUCAUUAGGCUGAAAAGGCUGGGCCGGUCUGAUUGAGAAAUCUAGGUGGACCCCGGUCUUAAGGCUGAGCGGGCUGGACCUGGUUCAUGCGAGAGACUUGAGGGCCUCCAAGUAAUGGGCCGUCGUCAUGGGCCUGGCCUCAGAUCGGGAUGGAGAAAUCCAGCGGUCAUCAGUUUUUAGGAUCUAAAUUUUUUUAGAAAAAUUUGUCAUUCUACAUAAUCGGUUUAGGGCAUUAAUACAUUGAUAUUUUGGUGCAUUCUGACAAAUCAUCCUAUUUGAUGCGAUGACGUGGUGUUGUGGCAAAAAUGUUAGGCAGCUCAUUUAUAGUGGACAGUCGGCUAAUAAAAAUUGAACCGCUUUUGUCGAACCGCUUUUGUCGUAUCCUAUUUUAUCACUCACGUCUCGUCUGUCAAUCUUACUUAUUCAUACAAUAAUGAUUUCAUUAAGGAUCUAUGUGCUUUAAUGAAGUCGGUUUGCACGUUUUGUGCUUGAGUGAGGUCAAAUAUAUUGGAAGUUGAACUUGUAUUUCAUGACGGGUGGUCAUUCCCUAAUCUGGUUGAAUCGGACAAGUUAGUACGAUACUCUUCUCUUCUCUUUCAUGUAUACGUGUCGAUCUCAAAGUAUUAAUCAUUAUUAUUAUGUUAUAAUUUUAAAAAAAAAAAAAUAGAAAUUGAGAGAAUAAAACCUGAAACCUACCAGAUUUAUUCAGAUGCACUAAUCAUCAGGCUAAAUCUGUGAGUGCAGAUUCACAUUUUAUAUUAUUAUAUAUUACCAUUUUAUUAUAUUUUAAAAUAUUUUUAGCAUAUUAAUUUCUCAAUUCUAUGCAUAUAUAAUCAUCCUUAUAUUUUAUUAUUGUUUUCAUUUUCAUUAUUGAAAUUAGGUCAACUGGACGAUAAAUUGGAAUGUUUUUACACAUAUCAUAAUUAUAGCUAAAAAUAUUUUAAUUUUGGAUACUCUCAACUUUUGAAAUUGGAUGUAAUUAUAGUGAAAUUUUAAAAUUAAUUAAAAAUUCAAAAAUAAAUUACAACAUAUACAGUCCCUAAAUUUUAGUAAAACGUACAUUGUAACGAUCCGAAAUCGGACCGCUACCGGCGCUAGGAUCCAGAUCGACUUAAGGUCGCCGAGACCCGUAGCAAGCCUAACAUACAUCCUGUCAUACCUGAUAAAUCCCAUACAUGAUCAUACAUUUACAUAAAAACUUUAAACUUUUUCAUCUACCAAGCUCGACCUGUGCAUGCACUGAAACUGAAUACAUAAAACUCCCAUACUAGAGCCCUCAUCAAAUGCUCUAGUUGGGUCAACAUUACAUUAAUCAAGCUUGGUUUACAUUUCUCAACACAUUAAUAAAAACAUUUCAUAAUGAUCAUGAACAAAAGGGAUUAACCACAAACUCUAGGGUCAAGCACAAUACUAAUCCUCAAUACAAAUCCGUACAAUAUCUUUCAUUACAUUACAUUAUCUUUCAUGUCCACAACUGACUAUUACAUACUUAAAACUUUCACUCUUGCUGACUUCCUGGUCUAUCCCGAACCUGCAAACCUGGGGGUUAAGGGAAAAGGUGAGCUACUAGAGGCCAGUGAGCAGAACAUAUAAAACAGUUUAUAUAGAUAUGCCAUCAUGAAAUGCGUCACAUCACAAACAAUUCACAUCAAGGAUGGAUUUGUCACCAAUAACCCCCUCUUUCCUCUUUAUCAUAACAAAUUGCCAGGACGCGUGGCAUGGGCAGCCCUGGACUUUCUUACAUGGUGCCAGGACGCGUGGCAUGGGCAGCCCUGGACUUUCUUACACUGUGCCAGGACGCGUGGCAUGGGCAGCCCUGGACUUCCUUAUCAUACUGAGGGCUAAUGGGUCAUCCAAAAUCCAUCCACAUCAACAAUAAUUAAUGCAAUGCAUCAUAUUUGUGAAUUCUAAUGCAAAACAACCUAAUUCAUAUCAUGGCAUUCGUGAUGCAUGGAUCAUGCUAAAAACGAUUUCAUUGCUUUGAAAAUAAAAGAAGUUAUGUUCUACUCACCUCUGGCAGAUACUAGACUGACUCUGAAGCAGCUAUCUCACUGCUGGGGUCCUCAGUUCCUAGGGUCCGAACCUACACAGGUGGACUCAAAUGAGGGACCAAACAUAUACUACCAUGACUCUAAACAUCUCCCCAAAAACCCCCUAAAACAUCAUAAAAUAAUCAUAGAAAACAUGCAAAGGAAGGCUGAACAGGGCACUUUCGGUGGUAGGUUCGGCGGCCGAAAGUCCCUCUAGAGCCGAAAGUCAGGCACUUUCGGGGGCAAGGUUCGGCGGCCGAAAGUCUGUCUAGAGCCGAAAGUCACCAACCUUCGGCGGCAGGUUCGGCGGCGGAAACUCCACUCCAGAGCCGAAAGUCUAAACUUUCGGGGGCAAGUUUUGGCGGCCAAACCACCUUCACAGGCAGGUUCGGCGGCCGAACAUGGUUUUCGCAGCCGAACCUGAGUUCUUCCAGAAUAGCAGAACUCAAGCCUCUCACACACAUUCAGCCAACCAAACCUCACAACACAAACCAAAUCAAGCAAAAACAUGCAUAAACACAUUCUUAAGCAUUUAGGGGCUUAAAACUAACCUAUACCCCAACAACAUCAACAUUUAGCAUACAUUAAUCAUGCAUUUAACCUUAAACUACCAUAAACCCUAUCAUUUUACAACUAGCCUAAUUAUGCAUCUUUAUCCCAUAACCCUUCAUAACAUUUGCUUAAAACAUCAAAGACGGUGAGGAUCGACGCUUACCUCUUGAAGAUUGAGAGAAGGCGUGACCCAACUUGGAGAUUUGGGGAAAACGAGUUCUGGAGGUCUCCAAGCUUCACAACUUCGAUUUUGAGCUUGAAAACUUCAAAACAAGAUGAAAGCUUGUUAAAAGCUUGAAAGAUUUGAAGGAAAACAUUAAAACUAACCAUGAAAGGUAUGGACUCACCUUUGCCCGAAAAUGGAGAAGAAAACUUGCCCAUUUUCGGAUAUGGGGCCUUUUAUAGGUGGCUGGCCAGACCACCUUCGGGGGCCAAAGGUGCUCCCUAAACUUCACCAUGUUCGGCGACCGAACAUGAGAUUCGACGGCCGAACCUAGCUUUCCUUCCUUGGUGCUUUUUUUUCAAAAACUCAAUUUCUUUCUUACUUAAAACCUUAAAAACACAUGAAAACAUUUUAGAAAAACAUAUUUUACAUUUCUAGAGAGUUUCGACAUCCGAGAUUCCGCCGGAAAGCAGGAAUUCCGAUGUCGGGGUCUAGCCGGGUAUUACAUUCUCCCCCCUUAAGAACAUUCGUCCCCGAAUGUUCACCAAACUAGCAUAGCAUGGCAUAACACACAUAAACACAUAAAAACACACAGAUACUAACCUUAAAAGAGAUGAGGGUAUUGCUGGAGUAUAGACUCUCGUGUCUCCCAGGUACAUUCUUCUAUGUUGUGGUGAUUCCAAAGGACUUUCACCAUCGGGAUUUUCUUGUUGCUCAGCUUUCUGACCUGCGUGUCCAAGAUUCGUACUGGCUGCUCAACAUAGGUGAGAUCUCCUAGGAUCUCCACAUCAGGCUCACUAAGAACCUUGCCCGGAUCUGACACGAACUUUCGUAACAUGGAAACAUGGAAAACCGGAUGGAUUCUUUCCAUUGAUACAGGUAAGUCCAACUUGUACGAUACAUUCUGCAAGAUUUCAAAGGGUCCGAUGUACCACGGAGCUAGCUUACCUUUCUUCCCAAAACGAAUCACCCCUUUCAUAGGAGACACCUUGAGCAACACUGUAAUACCCGGCUAGAGUCCGGCAUCAGAAUUCCUGCCGUCCGGUGGAAUUCCGGGUGACGGAAGACUCUAGAAGGGUUUGGGUUAUGUUUUGAGAUGGUUUUGAAGAAGUUUUCAUAUUUUAAAAGCGUAAAGGAAAUGAGGUUUUGAAAGAAAAGCACCAAGGGAGAAAUGCCAAGGUUCGGCCGCCGAAGGUGACUUUCGGCCGCCGAACUUGCAUAGCUUCGGGUUUCACGUUCGGCCGCCGUAGUUGGUCUGGCCAGCCACCUAUAAAAGGCCCUAGGUCGGUCAAAUGGAUAAGUUUGCUUUCCAUUUCUCCAGACCCAGGUGAGACCAUGAUCUUCCUUGAGUGAGUUUUCAUGUUUUCUCAAAUCUUUCAUGGUUUUGAUGGAUUGUCAUGUGUUUUGAAGUUUUUUAGCAAAAGAGCAAAGUUUGGAAGCUUGGAGACUUUGAGAGAGGAUUUCUCCAUAUCUCCACGUUGGGAUCCUUUAUUCUCUUGUUUGAAAGAGGUAAGUGAAGAUCCUGAACUUCCUUUCUUGAUUUUUGAAGGUUUUAUGGGAGUUGUAUGGGUAGUUAUGCAUGUUUAGGGUAAAGGAGGUUUUUGAUGAUUUUUGUGUAUAAGUAUGUUUAAGUGUUGGUUGAUCUGUUUGUUUGAGGUUGUAGGCUAGUUUUGGACCUCUUUAUGCAUGUUAUAUGGUAUAUGCUAGUUCGGAGUAGUUGAUAUGCAUGUUGGGUACGUUUUGGGUAAAGUUUGCAUGAAGCAGAGCAGGUUUCUGCCCAACGGGCAAAACCAGAUUCGGCCGUUGAAGGAAGGUUCGGCCGCCGAAUGUGCUAAGGAGGUGGUUUCGGCUGCCUAAGCUUGCCUCCGAAAAUUGGGACUUUCGUCUCUGGAGGGAAGGUUCGGCCGCCGAAGGGGCCGCCGAAGGUUAGAGACUUUCGUCUCUGGAGGGUCUUUUAGCCCCCGAACCUUGCCCCCGAAAGGGUUCAGCCGCCGAAAGCAGGAGUUCGGCCGCCGAAGGUGCUUGAGUUUCGUCUCUGGACGGGACUUUCGGCCGCCGAAAGUGCCCUGUCCAGCUUUCUUUUGCAUGUUUUAUGUCAUUGUUUUAGGAUCUUGUAGAAGGGUUUUAGGGGGUUUCUGAGAGUUGUUCUUGAGUUAGUUUGGUCCCUCAUGUGAGUCCACCUGUGUAGGAACGGACCAGAGGAAUCAGGGAGGUCAGCAGUGAGCACUGCUUCAAAACCUGCAGAGUCAGUUCAGAGUCAGCUAGAGGUGAGUGGAACUAAACUUAACUAUUUUAAUAUGAGAACAUAACUGCUUUUAGCAUGUUUCAUGCAUCAUGAUGAUUAGGUUGAUUGCACUAGUUUCACGAAUAUGGCGCAUUGCAUACUAUGAUGCAUAUGAUGAUGUGGAUGGACCAAGGCGACCCCAAUAGCCCUAGCUCUGUUGUAAGACCUGGCCGGGCCAGGCUGAUACGGAUCCGAUAGGACAAAUUUCUAACAAUGGUGUGGAGCAAACUUAUAUCAUUCCAAUGGAUCUAAGAGUAGUUCAAAAUCAUAUUCAUAUAAUCCAUAUAUAUUUGGGGCGUGCUUUAACUCAUAUGGGACAGAUUUGGUGCAACAUUUGCAAUCAUAGGCUGAGAGAGCCUAAUCAAACCUAUAGGCUAAAACUACAUAAAGGAAAGCCUAAAGUGAAGAUCAAGUACGGCUUUUGUGAAGAUUCAACUUUGUUAUGAUAGGCUUGCUAGUUUUAUUAUUUAAACACUUGUUUUAUUUUAGUUUUGUUUGGGCUUGUAUUCUGGCCAUAUUUUAUCUUUUAAGUUUUAGAGUGUUGGGCCAUGUUGUGGGCUUAUAUUUUAAUACUUAUAUGUUAUUUUAGUGUGUGAUUGGGCUUGGGUCUUAUGUGUUUAAGUCAGGCCCAAGAAGAGUGUCUUAGGGUUUUAUUUCUUUUUCUCCUUACUAUAUAAGGAUAAGAAACAAUUGUAAGAGGCAGCUUUUAAUCAAACUUUUCAGAAUUUCUUUCAUGCCUUUGGCGUGUAUUGCUUUGAGUGAGAGUGAGGAUUUGCUUUCAUCAAUUGCACCAGGAAUCUUGGCUAACUUAUCAACUAUUCGUUGUGGCGUUUGUCGGAUUCUCAUCUAAAUCCUUCGAUCAUUGGUGUUUCAGCUUCUCUAAGUUUGGGGUGCCAUAGGAGGUGGGUUUAUCAGAUCUUUGGAUUCCGUAUCUACUUGUGCGUGUGAGUU
Molecule: long non-coding RNA, 19189 nt
Filed under: Manihot esculenta (cassava)
Lineage: Eukaryota; Viridiplantae; Streptophyta; Magnoliopsida; Malpighiales; Euphorbiaceae
Description: long non-coding RNA (MESC_LNC001630)
Source: RNAcentral